CUCUGCCUGUCAGUGUGGAGCUCACAAUGGACUGGGGGUGGCAAUGAGCCAACCUAGGCCAUAGGUCUUAAGAUGGCUCACUGUGGGGAUGAGGGGUGUGUGGGGGUCCUAGCUGGGGGGGAGAGGGACAUGCACUGGAGAUUAAGAGCACAGCAGGACCACUGGCAUCUGGCUGUGGGCAACAAGAAUCUCUCAGGAUGUCUCGAAGCCUCCCCUCUCCAAAAGCAGCAAAAUCGUCAUGGCGAUCCAGCCCAAACUGGUGGCCGAUGCUGCUUCUAGCAGCCUUCAUCUUCAGCUGCACUUGUGUCACCCGAAGCCACGCUGCCAAGGAAGCUACCAUUGAGAUCAUGACAGAGCCCUCCCAACUUCUAGUAGGCAUGGACGUCAACCUGUUACUAAGGGCAACCCGACAAGAAAUUAAAUCCUGCGUCUGGUUCCGAGGACAUCGGCUAAAGCAAUUUGCCAUCUUGACCUAUCGGCCACCCAAUGAAACAAUCCACAACGAAUCCUACACCGGUCGGGAGACAGUACAAAAAGAUUGCUCGCUUUACAUCAAAAACUUGACCCUCGAUGACAACGACUUCUACUCGGUCAAAAGGGUUUUGCAGGAUGGCUUGACAGAAUUUGGGACAACACCCUUACUGAUCAGAGAGGUACUGGAGUCUCCAGAACCAAGGCAGGCGCUCUCCCCAGGCGUUACCUUCGGUGUUGUGGCUGGUUGCCUUAUGGGCCUCAUGUUCAUAACUGGGAUGUUCGUGUUCCGGGCGGCAGGGAGUGAACAGUUUCAAAGAGAAGGCAGCAGCCGACCGUCUGAAACCCAGGUGGGGACCGAGGAAGAAGCCAAAUGACCAGACCUGUGUAAAUACCAGCCCUACAAGAUGAGACCGGAAAGAAAAGAUGGUCAUCGUAGUCCAGAACAUCGUCAGCGUUCAAGUGUGGAACAACUUCAGACUAAUUUACAAAACUUCUUCCCCUUGACCUCCCAGUUAAGGAAUGCCAUACACAUGGGAAUCAACGGUGAAAUGAUCAAGGGCAUCGUUCUGCUUCAGAACAGUGGCACUUAUGCUCAUCCAGAGCCUUGGGGCAAAGAGGGGGAGACUAUGCUAUCAGCUGAUAGAAAUAAAAGGCUCCAGUGCCCAUUUCUGUCUGUGUCU
This 1154-nucleotide long non-coding RNA is filed under the name Pogona vitticeps (central bearded dragon). RNAcentral describes it as "lncRNA (ENSPVIG00000021650.1)". The record is from RNAcentral. Lineage: Eukaryota; Metazoa; Chordata; Lepidosauria; Squamata; Agamidae.